Molecule: long non-coding RNA, 2040 nt
Organism: Gavialis gangeticus (Gharial)
Lineage: Eukaryota; Metazoa; Chordata; Crocodylia; Gavialidae
Exons: 3
Source: RefSeq, a predicted model, not a curated record
CUGUACCAUUUAUGAUUGCUCAAGGUUACCCCACAGUCAGACCCACGGCAGCCGGCAGCCCUUAAUGAGAAUGGCAUAGUUACCACAUAAUCUGCCCCUGGUUCAAUCCAGGAAUGAAGAACUACUUGGCUGCCUAAAGGGGAUGCUACAGACUGCUUUCAUUUGCCCUUCAGUCAGACAGAGCAAAUGGCACCUGUGUUCUCAUAGCACUGUGUGCAGGUAGCCUAUAGCUGCCACACUGCCUUGUGCUGCUGCUUGCCUUAGUCAUGAUUGCACAGUCUCACCUCACAGUCGGACCCAGUCAAUGGUAGCAGGUACGUUCAUUAGGGUUACCAUAUUUCCAUUUAAAAAAAUGAGGUGCCCUAGUCCAGCCCAAUCUGUUGUUCCUCACUCUAGGACUCAGGACCCUGAGCCAUCCUGCCCGCCUCAUAACCAGGGCACCCCUGGCAGUGCCCCCACUCCCAACCCCCAGUGUCAUGCAGUUGCUUCUUGGGGAUUUACUGGUUUUUCCAGUUUUACAAGUUAGGCAAUCCUCCCUAAUGUUGCAGACAACUGUUCAUUUGGCAGUGGUGACGACAAAAACAGGAUCAAAGCCUGGGACUCUGGCCUGAUGAUCUGAUGGCCACCCUCAGUGAAAAAAAAGAAGGCAAAACAGUUUUUUUACAUAAUUAACCUUUACUGAUUUAGUAAGCAUAACUUAAAGAAAUAACCAACCAACUUUACAGAAUUUUCAAGGUAAACAUUAGUGAGAAGCAGUACUAAUUUAAUUUUUAAACCUCAGGCAAUAUGCAGUGAGUUUCAUUACAAUACCUUUUUUACACACAUGCAGUAACCAUAGGCAUUGUUUAUGUAUGUUUAAAUCAACAAACAGGCCAUGACCACUAAUUAGCAAUACUUAGCUACUAUCACUGCACAUAAGCAACACUGUUUUUCUACAUUUCUAAGCUGGACUGCCCUUCUUUCUCCCUUUCUUGUGAAUGCCUCCUGCCAUGUUGCCCAGCCAACACUUGGCCACAGACUCAGCAUGCCUGUUUUGCUAUUUCCUGCAACCAUACUGUGCAGGUACUGAUGGUACUGACAAUCCUAUCUGACCAGGCAUCAUCAGGCUCCCUGUGUAGUCUGUGUUUUUUUGGCGGCAUUGAUAGCAGCAACGGCAGCAUACCUACCAGAGCUGAAAGCCAAGGAAGGACUGAAUGUGGGGAUAAUUGUGUGCUCUGAGAAUCAGACAAGUGGAUAAGAAGCAUUCUAGAAAACCCACUAAGAAGGGCUUGCCUGCCUGCCUGUCCACGUUGUUGGACUGCAGGCCCUAAAUGGCUGCAAACUUGUCAUCUACAGAGCCUGUGUGUUUUGCAUUGCCCUUCACCUUCCUGCAUGACAAUCCAAUCCUCCCCCACGUGUCAGUUAGUUGUCAGUUAAAUUAACACUCUCCCACACACAUAUCUCAUGGCAGUUACCUGUGAUCCCCCAACCUGCACCCCUCACAUCACAGCCCAGCCUAAUCUCAGGUAUCAGUUCAGAUGUUAGAUGUCAGUUCCCCAUGGCUCAACUUAUCAGUUGUAGAAGAUGUCCCCAGUCUCUCCUCUUCAGCAGACUCAGCAAGGACUGGUUCUGUUGACCUGCCUCUGUCUUCCUUCCAUGAAGCAGCAGGACUUGCAGUCAGACCUGUGGUCAGUGAACUGGCAGGAGCAGGGGACAGCUUGGAUAUCUCUUCUCUUUGCUUGGCAUUGGAGUACCUCUAUUAAUGGUUGGAGGUACUGAUAAUGUAGCACAUUAAGCAGGGGCUACCAUUCUGAUGAGGUCUUGCUACGCCACGUUGGAAGCAGCUCUCACAUUCUGUUCUGGACUUCCAUCUUGUUGUGCCCCCCUCUGGGCAAGUCUCUUGGAGACAUCCAGGUAGAUGUGCAAGUUCAUGGUCAGGCUGUUGCUGACACUGAACUGGCUUAAGACCUCAGGGUUCCCCAGCACAUGCACCAGGCUCUUAGUUUCUUCAUAGGACCAAGUUGUCCUAGUCUUAUGCACCCUGACUGGCUGUCUGCUCUA